UUUGUUUAUUAGUUAAUGUUUCUCCCUGGUCUCGGGACACACUGAGGCUUACAACUCAGCCCUCGGCCUGCUUUACUUGAGGAAAAAAGGUUGAACUUGUCACAUAGUUUUCAGUGCCUAGUGCUGAGUCUAUUAGUGUGGUUCUGCAGGUUUCUGGAAAAUAAUCUCAGACGUUGCAUUUGAAAAUGAAAAAUAUGGACAGUUCACCAUGUUUCUUAACCUUUCAUAAAUUAAAAGUGGAAAUAUUUAAUUAAUUUUAAUGUUAAAGUCUGCUAGCUUUUAACUUUUCCCACGGCUCCCUCUUACAAUAUUCAAUUAUGAUACCCAGAUAUUUGUGGCAGAAGUAACAAAACCUGUCUGAGAUAAACUUCCCUUUUCAGGGGAGGGAGGGAAUGUCAAUAACCUGUUUGGCCACUGGGUGGCAUUUUAUCCACUUGCAAAUCAAGUACACUACUGUAUGUGCAAUUACUAUCAAGGGCCUAUCCUGACAAUUAGGAUUUUUAUGUUUAUUUGGUUAUUGUGCAUAGUCAGUUAGCCUCACAAUAGCAUGGUCAUGGUCAUAGAACACAAUAAUCCAGAAAGCCAUGGGAACCCUGGUAAUAAGCAGAGUGCUGGUGAAUAAUGCCUGGUCACUCUUGCUUACAGUAAGAUUAACUGAACAAAUAUGGGGCUUCUUGCUUCUCAAUCCGAGAAUUAAAAAGUGUCCUUCUUUGGCUGAGCAAAUCCUGGAGUACAUAUCUGUUAGAAGAUGCUGGUGGACUACAAUGAAGCUCUGCUAGAAAAACAGAAUGUGUCUUUAUUUAUCCAACGGGACAACUGUCACAAAUAAUGACAUUAAGAGUCUGAUCCCAUUCAAUUCCUGUCUGGAGGUCUGAACAGUGCCCUUGCUCCAAGC
This is a long non-coding RNA of Pogona vitticeps (central bearded dragon), 895 nucleotides long. Lineage: Eukaryota; Metazoa; Chordata; Lepidosauria; Squamata; Agamidae. The record is from Ensembl.